This 495-nucleotide ribosomal RNA is filed under the name uncultured bacterium. Its description in RNAcentral is "partial 16S ribosomal RNA". It matches the Rfam family "Bacterial small subunit ribosomal RNA", at positions 28 to 507 of the family's 1533-position model. The record is from RNAcentral.
GACGAACGCUGGCGGCGUGCCUAAUACAUGCAAGUCGAACGCUGAAGGAGGAGCUUGCUUCUCCGGAUGAGUUGCGAACGGGUGAGUAACGCGUAGGUAACCUGCCUGGUAGCGGGGGAUAACUAUUGGAAACGAUAGCUAAUACCGCAUAACAGUAGAUGUUGCAUGACAUUUGCUUAAAAGGUGCAAUUGCAUCACUACCAGAUGGACCUGCGUUGUAUUAGCUAGUUGGUGAGGUAACGGCUCACCAAGGCGACGAUACAUAGCCGACCUGAGAGGGUGAUCGGCCACACUGGGACUGAGACACGGCCCAGACUCCUACGGGAGGCAGCAGUAGGGAAUCUUCGGCAAUGGACGGAAGUCUGACCGAGCAACGCCGCGUGAGUGAAGAAGGGUUUCGGAUCGUAAAGCUCUGUUGUAAGAGAAGAACGAGUGUGAGAGUGGAAAGUUCACACUGUGACGGUAGCUUACCAGAAAGGGACGGCUAACUACGUG